CGGAGAGAAGGAAGCCUAAAGGAGAACCACCUGCUCCACAUCUUCAGAUCCCGAGGCUGGAAGGAUCUUGGGAGAGCCAGCGGAGGCCAGUUACCCGGCGGUGUCAGUGGCUGGGAGAUCCCUUCUUGAGCCUGGCCGAGGAGAAGAAAUAGGAAGGGCCCCAGGUUUUGAGGUUCUUCCAGGAAUGGGGAGUAAUUGGGUGGAUCACACAGAUCUUCCUCCUGAUCUGUCUUUCAGAGGGAUCCCCAAGGAUAAAAGUCAAGGUCUGGAUUCCUCACUAGUGGACAAAAUACAGUCACCGUUGUUCAUUGAAUCAUCUCCUUCUGUUGGUGGAUCUGAAAGAGCUGCUGGACUCCUGACUCAGGUAAGAAGGAAGAGAUUAGCAGCUUAUAUAGGGGAGAGUAGGAGACCUCCAGUUUCC
Molecule: long non-coding RNA, 421 nt
Filed under: Laticauda laticaudata (blue-ringed sea krait)
Lineage: Eukaryota; Metazoa; Chordata; Lepidosauria; Squamata; Elapidae
Description: lncRNA (ENSLLTG00000001610.1)
Source: RNAcentral